This 437-nucleotide ribosomal RNA is filed under the name uncultured bacterium. RNAcentral describes it as "bacterial SSU rRNA". It matches the Rfam family "Bacterial small subunit ribosomal RNA", at positions 28 to 477 of the family's 1533-position model. The record is from RNAcentral.
GACGAACGCUGGCGGCGUACUUAACACAUGCAAGUCGAACGAGGCCCUUCUCUUCGGAGAAGGUGCCCUAGUGGCGAACGGGUGAGUAACACGUGGGCAACCUGCCCCUAGCACUGGGAUAACUCCGGGAAACCGGGGCUAAUACCGGAUAUGACCUCCUUAGGCAUCUUUGGAGGUGGAAAAGAUUCUGGCUAGGGAUGGGCCCGCGGCCUAUCAGCUUGUUGGUGGGGUAACGGCCCACCAAGGCUCCGACGGGUAGCCGGCCUGAGAGGGCGACCGGCCACACUGGGACUGAGACACGGCCCAGACUCCUACGGGAGGCAGCAGUGGGGAAUAUUGCACAAUGGGCGAAAGCCUGAUGCAGCGACGCCGCGUGAGGGAUGACUGCCUUCGGGUUGUAAACCUCUUUCAGCAGGGACGAAGCGAAAGUGACGGUA